This 963-nucleotide small RNA is filed under the name Pongo abelii (Sumatran orangutan). RNAcentral describes it as "retained intron". Lineage: Eukaryota; Metazoa; Chordata; Mammalia; Primates; Hominidae. The record is from RNAcentral.
AACAGAACUGCACCCUCAAUUCACAGCAUAAGUGACGUACUGGGAACCCUUAUGACUGGGACUCCUUUUCCAGUGGCCAAAGACGCAGUUAUUCUAGGAUAAGUUGGCCAUCUAACUAAAGUCAGCAAACGAUGUCUUAGCAGAAAAGGGGGUGCAGAAUGCUUUGCAGCAAGAACUCACCUGUGUCCCUUGGAAUAUAUUAAACACAGGUUUCGAGCCACUGUCUACCCUUGCCCAGAGCCUGUGGUGGAGCGCAAAGAGAUGUUGGAGAGCGUCAAUGUGAGGCUGGAAGAUUUAAUCACUGUCAUAACACAAACAGAGUCUCACCGCCAGCACCUGCUGCAGGAAGCCGCUACCAACUGGCACUCCUGGCUCAUCAAGGUGCAGAAGAUGAAGGCUGUCUACCACAUCCUGAACAUGUGCAACAUCGACGUCACCCAACAGUGUGUCAUCGCCGAGAUCUGGUUCCCGGUGGCAGAUGCCACACGUAUCAAGAGGGCACUGGAGCAAGGCAUGGAACUAAGUGGCUCCUCCAUGGCCCCCAUCAUGACCACAGUGCAAUCUAAAACAGCCCCUCCCACAUUUAACAGGACCAAUAAAUUCACAGCUGGCUUCCAGAAUAUUGUCGAUGCCUAUGGCGUCGGCAGCUACCGGGAGAUAAACCCAGCCCCCUACACCAUCAUCACUUUCCCCUUCCUGUUUGCUGUGAUGUUUGGAGACUGUGGUCACGGAACCGUGAUGCUCCUGGCCGCACUUUGGAUGAUUCUGAAUGAGAGACGCUUGCUCUCCCAGAAGACAGACAAUGAGAUUUGGAACACCUUCUUCCACGGGCGCUAUCUGAUCCUACUUAUGGGCAUCUUCUCCAUCUACACGGGUUUGAUCUACAAUGACUGCUUCUCCAAGUCCUUGAACAUCUUCGGCUCUUCUUGGAGUGUCCAACCCAUGUUCAGAAAUGGCACAUGG